RNAcentral lists this ribosomal RNA (282 nucleotides) under Phoma sp. K-24. Its description in RNAcentral is "partial 28S ribosomal RNA". It matches the Rfam family "Eukaryotic large subunit ribosomal RNA", at positions 351 to 650 of the family's 3401-position model. The record is from RNAcentral. Lineage: Eukaryota; Fungi; Ascomycota; Dothideomycetes; Pleosporales; Didymellaceae.
GAGUGAUCGAAAGAUGAAAAGCACUUUGGAAAGAGAGUCAAAUAGCACGUGAAAUUGUUGAAAGGGAAGCGCUUGCAGCCAGACUUGCCUGUAGUUGCUCAUCCGGGCUUUUGCCCGGUGCACUCUUCUGCGGGCAGGCCAGCAUCAGUCUGGGCGGUUGGAUAAAGGCCUCUGUCAUGUACCUCCUCUCGGGGAGGCCUUAUAGGGGAGGCGUAAUGCAACCAGCCUGGACUGAGGUCCGCGCAUCUGCUAGGAUGCUGGCGUAAUGGCUGUAAGCGGCCC